UACGUAGGGAGCGAGCGUUGUCCGGAAUUACUGGGUGUAAAGGGAGCGUAGGCGGGAUGGCAAGUUGGGUGUUAAAUCUACCGGCUCAACCGGUAGCCGCACUCAAAACUGCCGUUCUUGAGUGAAGUAGAGGCAGGCGGAAUUCCUAGUGUAGCGGUGAAAUGCGUAGAUAUUAGGAGGAACACCAGUGGCGAAGGCGGCCUGCUGGGCUUUUACUGACGCUGAGGCUCGAAAGUGUGGGGAGCAAACAGG
This 252-nucleotide ribosomal RNA is filed under the name uncultured bacterium. Its description in RNAcentral is "partial 16S ribosomal RNA". It matches the Rfam family "Bacterial small subunit ribosomal RNA", at positions 524 to 776 of the family's 1533-position model. The record is from RNAcentral.